Molecule: ribosomal RNA, 466 nt
Filed under: uncultured bacterium
Lineage: Bacteria
Description: partial 16S ribosomal RNA
Rfam family: Bacterial small subunit ribosomal RNA
Source: RNAcentral
GAUGAACGCUGGCGGCGUGCUUAACACAUGCAAGUCGAACGAUGAAGCCCAGCUUGCUGGGUGGAUUAGUGGCGAACGGGUGAGUAACACGUGAGUAACCUGCCCUUGACUCUGGGAUAAGCCUGGGAAACUGGGUCUAAUACUGGAUAUGACUUCUCAUCGCAUGGUGGGGGGUGGAAAGAUUUAUUGGUCCUGGAUGGACUCGCGGCCUAUCAGCUUGUUGGUGAGGUAAUGGCUCACCAAGGCGACGACGGAUAGCCGGCCUGAGAGGGUGACCGGCCACACUGGGACUGAGACACGGCCCAGACUCCAACGGGAGGCAGCAGUGGGGAAUAUUGCACAAUGGGCGCAAGCCUGAUGCAGCGACGCCGCGUGAGGGAUGACGGCCUUCGGGUUGUAAACCUCUUUCAGUAGGGAAGAAGCGAGAGUGACGGUACCUGCAGAAGAAGCGCCGGCUAACUACGUG